CCUCCCUUCAUGCUACUCAAUUGGGUUAAGGUCCAGUUAUUGACUUGGCCAGUCUAAAACCUUCAGCUUUUUCUCCCUGAUAAAGUCCUUUGUUGUGUUGGUGUUACAAUUUGGAGGUGGAGACAGAUGCAAGUGCAGAUUUUCAGUUUUAAUGAAGAUGCCUAACAAAAAGCAAAACAAGAGCUAUGAACAGCGAGUGAAACACUAAAGUAAGAAUUAAAUAUUAACAAAGACCUUGAAUACAAAAAUAGUAUCAACCGCAACAAAUGACAAAUCUAGGAGUGCAGUGCAAAUUGUGGCUAUAUACACAUAAGUGCUCAUUAAGUGAAUGUGAUUCAGGUGUAGCACCCAGGUGUGGGUUAUCAGCUUUAGCAGGGUGAAAAGAGAGACGUCCAGUGGAACAGGAUGGCAGAACUUAAUCGGCCUUGUCUGCAGACUCUGGUGUCAGCAGUUUUUGGCGUCAGCAGAACUUGGUUGGCGUCAACCUCAGACAGGGACUGGGUGUGCUCUUUGAGGUUCAAGUGUGAGGGGGGUCUCUUCCACAAGUCAUCAGAUUACAGAGUAGCCAUUAACUUCAGCUGCAACCACUUCAGCAGAAGGACAGGGAGAUGGAGAGGAGAACCUAUGGGAUCUCUUGGACAAUAAGAUAAGUGAGACACAAAGUUCCACGAUGUCACUGCAGAUGCAAAAGUUGAAGUACAACUAUACUUAAAUACACGUUACGUUAACAGAACAAGUGAUCCACUGGAGUUUUGGGAAAAACAUCAAACUUUCUUCCUUCAUUUCUUCCACCUUGCCAAAAAAUGUCAAUACCAGCUACAUCUGUGCCAUGUGAAUGAGUUUUUUUUUGUUGUUGUUGUUGUUGUUUUCCAAAGUAGGAGAAGUUCUGUGCAAGAAGAUUAAGUGCUAAAACACUAGACCAACUUCUGUUCUUAAAUAAAA
Molecule: long non-coding RNA, 942 nt
Organism: Ictalurus punctatus (channel catfish)
Lineage: Eukaryota; Metazoa; Chordata; Actinopteri; Siluriformes; Ictaluridae
Source: Ensembl